UACGGAAGGCAGCAGCGGGGAAUAUUGCACAAUGGGCGAAAGCCUGAUGCAGCUAUGCCGCGUGUAUGAAGAAGGCCUUAGGGUUGUAAAGUACUUUCAUCGGGGAGGAAAAAACAAAACUAAUAAUUUUAUUUCUUGACGUUACCCGAAAAAGAAGCACCGGCUAACUCCGUGCCAGCAGCCGCGGUAAUACGGAGGGUGCUAGCGUUAAUCAGAAUUACUGGGCGUAAAGAGCACGUAGGUGGUUUUUUUAAAGUCAGAUGUGAAUCCCUGGGCUUAACCUAGGAACUGCAUUUUGAAACUGAAAUACUAGAGUAUCGUAGAGGGAGGUAGAAUUCUAGGUGUAGCGGUGAAAUGCGUAGAUAUCUGGAGGAAUACCUGUGGCGAAAGCGGCCUCCUAAACGAAUACUGACACUGAGGUGCGAAAGCGUGGGGAGCAAACAGGGAUUAGAUACC
Molecule: ribosomal RNA, 456 nt
Filed under: uncultured bacterium
Lineage: Bacteria
Description: bacterial SSU rRNA
Rfam family: Bacterial small subunit ribosomal RNA
Source: RNAcentral